AUACGGAGGGUGCAAGCGUUAAUCGGAAUUACUGGGCGUAAAGCGUACGUAGGCGGUUUGUUAAGUCAUAUGUGAAAGCCCCGGGCUCAACCUGGGAACUGCAUUUGAAACUGGCAGGCUAGAGUAUGCUAGAGGGGGGUAGAAUUUCUGGUGUAGCGGUGAAAUGCGUAGAUAUCAGAAGGAAUACCAGUGGCGAAGGCGGCCCCCUGGACCAAUACUGACGCUGAGGUACGAAAGCGUGGGUAGCGAACAGAAUUAGAUACCCCGGUAGUCC
Molecule: ribosomal RNA, 274 nt
Filed under: uncultured bacterium
Lineage: Bacteria
Description: partial 16S ribosomal RNA
Rfam family: Bacterial small subunit ribosomal RNA
Source: RNAcentral